UGCGGGAAAGAGGACUUGAACCUCCACGCCUUGCGGCGCCAGAUCCUAAGUCUGGUGCGUCUGCCAAUUUCGCCAUUCCCGC
RNAcentral lists this transfer RNA (82 nucleotides) under Helicobacter hepaticus ATCC 51449. RNAcentral describes it as "tRNA-Leu". Lineage: Bacteria; Pseudomonadati; Campylobacterota; Epsilonproteobacteria; Campylobacterales; Helicobacteraceae. The record is from RNAcentral.